This is a long non-coding RNA of Myotis brandtii (Brandt's bat), 3733 nucleotides long. RefSeq lists it as uncharacterized. The transcript is spliced from 5 exons. NCBI's taxonomy places the organism in Eukaryota, Metazoa, Chordata, Mammalia, Chiroptera, Vespertilionidae. The record is from RefSeq and is a predicted model, not a curated record.
GCCUCAGCUCUGGGUUCUGUGUUGCAGCCGCGGACAGAGCAGACCACCGCCUCUAAAGGGGCAGCCAAAGCGGCCCAGCAGGGGAGGCCCCCUCAGGCUCAGCCACCGCCAGGACCUGGACCUGCAGGCAUGAAAGCUGGAGCCAGGCCUGGAGGCACCCCGGGGGCUCCCGCUGGCCAGCCAGGGGCCGAAGGGGACAGCGUGUUCUCCAAGAUCCUCCCCGGGGGGGCCGCAGAGCAGGCGGGCAAACUGACAGAAGCCGUCUCUGCUUUUGGCAAAAAAUUCUCCUCCUUCUGGUGACCCUGCCCGGAGGGGCUCUCAGGCUCUCGAUGAGAUGGAGGGAGGUGGUGUCGUUGUUGUGGAAAAACCUCUGGAGUCCGAGGCCUGGGCGCAGCUCUGGACUCUGCGUAUAACACAUCUACAAUCUGGCGCACACUUGGCUCCCAGACUCGCCGGAGGGACGGACAUGGUGGGCGGCCUCCGCUGGACAAGUGGGACCACCUGCCGGACCCCUGCUUGACUUUCCGGAGCCCCUGCUCUCCUGGGGCGCCGCCUUCAGGCCGGGGAGGGAAGAGCCUCUUUGCAGACCCUGCGGCCUGGCCAGCCCGGCUUCCCAUGCGUUAUACACAGAGUUGGCGCACGCUGCCUUUCCCACAGACGCUGCCUCCCUCCACGCGGCCAGAAGUUCUUCCACAGCCUGGGACUGAGAGCUGGGCCCCGGCUCCGUUCCCUCCACAUUCCAGCUGGCCCACCUCCCUCUGCCGCCGCAGGGCCCUGCCCCGCAGCCUGCCCUCCGGGUGACAUCGGAGCAGACUUCCAUGUGCUGUGGCGGGUGGGGAGGACUUGACAAACACUAGGACCUAACACUGUCUCCUUGCUGGAACCAGAGGCCAUAGCACCGCAAUGCAGCGUGGGCCCUGGCCAAGGCUCCCGCAGCCCACGGUGGCAGUGCCCGCGCUGGCCGCCAUCUCAAAGCCAUUCCCCAGCCAUCGCUCCCGGGCACCGCCAUCGUCUCGACAGCUGGCUCCUCCCCCUCACGCCUGGGGGUUUCUUUUGAUUUCGAGAGCAGCCUUAACAUUUCAGUUGGUUUACGUGUAUACCUCAUGAACAUCUUCUUUGGUUUCUCCUUCUCCCUCCGCCUCUCCUUUGCUCACCCCUUGACUCUCCUCCCUCCACCCCUCCGUGACUGACGGUUUGGUCCCUCGCUGCUCAGUCCCUGCUCAGCACAGGGAGGAGGCUGACUCCGAAGCAAUAGUGGGCAGCAGGCCGCCCAGAGCACAACCCGGGGCGAGGCCUCAGGAGCCCGCCGCCUGUUUACUGUGCAAUCCAGUCCUUCUUAAGCCAUCACCGGGCGGCUCGCAGCAGAGGCCCGGCUUCUGGCCGGGCGGACCCAGCGCCCUGGACUGGGGAGUGUGGCUCCCUCCACCCACCCGGUGGGCUGGGCGGCCGCCCUCCCCAGGCCCUGCCCUGGGGGACUUUCUGUCUCUUGGGCACAGCCACAGUCUCAUCUCUAACGUUCUAUGCAAUGAAAUAGAAACCUUCAAAGACAACUGUUAAUAUUUAAUAAAUUCCAUGUUAUGUAUAAGGAGUUCAUUGCAAACAUGCAAUUGAGAAACUGGAUAGAUAUGCUCAUCUCAGACCCCUCCCCGCCGCCCGCUCCCCUGUGGCUCUGUCUGUGGCAUGUUUGACCCGUGGCCGGGCGCUGACGCCGGCGAGUCGCUGCCCCGUGGAGCAUGCACUCGCAGCCUCUUUGCACGCUCUCACCCAUUUCCAAUGCCCGACCCUCUUGCUUGGAGUCCUUGUUGCCUCAGAACCUCCCCUCCAGGAGUGUCCGCUGCCUGUGCACGAACUAGCAGGGGCCUGCCGGGGUGCCGCCGGAGCUCGCCAAGAUGGCAGGCGAGAGGCGUCCCGGUGGACACGCGGUGAGGCCUGCUGGGGGCGGGGGGUGUGCGGGAGCAUUCAGAAGGCUCCCCUCACCCAGCCUUGAGCCAGAGGCAUCCGGCCACCCCUACCCUCGGGGGCAGGGCUGGACUGUGUCUGUGGCCUGACAGGCCCAGGGCAGGGCCUGGCUGAGUCCUAGGGCCCCGGCCCCUGGCUGGCUGCUCCAGGUCCCUCCCCUGUGGCUGGAGGCGCAGAGGUCUGUGAGCCAGGAGGUGGCUCCAGGGGUCAAAGGGUGCUCAGGAGAGCUGGACAUCAGGCCCUCGUGGCGAGGGCAGCUGAAAAGGUCAUCUCGGACCGAGCAGGUGUCCCCACAGGCAGCGGCUGCAAGCCCAGUGUCUUGGGAGGCUUCUCAUAGCAAACCCUGAGGCCGCUCUGCCUCUGUCCCCAGGCCCUGCACUCCUGCCACCCUCAUCGCUGGAGCCUGGCCUCCCGCUGCUCGCUGCAUCCCUGCCACUGAGCCAGGAGCCGGCAGGGUGGCUGCCGCCCCGGCCCGGCCCCUCAGCGCUCUGGUUUGCACCGUGCAUUUCUCAGGGUCCACAUUUCCAUGCUUCCCAUCAGGUCUACACGGCCCUUCAGAGAGGGAUCCUGGCCGCUUCGGGGGGGAUAGGAGGUGUCGACCUCUGUGUUGGGCCUGAGACCCUGGUCCUCCAGGAUUUGGGCCUCACGCAUCCCAUGGCACUUGCCUCCUCUGAGACCAGGGCUCCGGGCGGCGGUCUGAGCAAGGGCUGAGGGGGGCCACCUCCAUCACCUCUGACCGCCCAGGGCCAGCUCGGUACUGGGGGCCCACAGCAGCUCUCCUGCCACUGAAGCCGGGGUGGGCAGCAGCAGGCAGGUGGCUGCAGGCGGCUCCAUCAGACCCGGCCUCAGGCUCUGACAUGCUAACUUUUCAGCAAAUUUCCUUCUGGCCGAGCCUCCGAGUUUGAAAGGUCUGACAUCUGUCCCUCCCCAUCCCCAGCGUACACACAGGUCACACCUGUGCCUUCACUCCUGUGAAGGCGGCUGGAGCAGGCCUCGGGCACAGGCGUCCCGGCCCUCCUGUGGAUGCUAAGGGACCAGCACUCGGGGCCGUGGGCAAUGGGGAGCCCGGGCAUAUCUCCAACAGGAGAGGGUCCCUAGGACGCCGUCCAGGCCUCUGCAUACCUGCCGCCCAGCGUCAGAAGCAAGGGCAUUCAUUUCACAGCGACACCCCCUCCCCGCCAUCUGCUCCGUCCCGGGGAGAGCGAGGUCUCAGCCGUGCUGAGGGCAGCAUGGCAGCCUGGCCCCGCCCGCCCUGUGUCCCCUCCCCCACUUUGUAAAUAGGUGUCAUCGUGGACUCGACAGGGUCAGAGUGACAGGCCUGGUCAACUGAAACUCCUCAGAGAUGUCACCCGUCUCCCUGGGCACCCAGCCUGCCCCCCGAGAGCCGUGGAAGUGGUGACACCGUGCGUGCAUGUGACCUGGUGUGAGUGGGUGUGUGUGUCCGCCUCCAGCUCUGACCCCGUCAGCCCCCUGCAGGCGCGGUGCCCUGGCUGCAGCGUCCAGCCUCGCCCCUGCUGGCUGCCUCCCCCUCCCCCCCUGCUUCCCUUCAGUCCCUCCCCCCUUCUUUCUCUCCUUCUUUAUCUGAGGGGGGGAGUGCUGUACAAAGUCACACAAACAAGUUUACAGUUGUAAGUGCAAUGACCGAGCCCUCCACAUGACCUUGUGAAGUGUGUGCGUCCUCCGUGCCCGUGAGAACUCGUGCUACUUCCGUGUCCCUCCCCUGUGCUGUGACGAGGUAACUGUGGCAUCAGAAUAAAGGACUUGAUAUCCACAA